AAGACUUGUAAAAUUUUAAUUCACAUCUGCUGAUUGCAACUCAACCGCUUUAACUUAAACUAAAGCCUC
Molecule: transfer RNA, 69 nt
Filed under: Pachydactylus maculatus
Lineage: Eukaryota; Metazoa; Chordata; Lepidosauria; Squamata; Gekkonidae
Description: tRNA-Ala
Source: RNAcentral